GAUGAACGCUGGCGGCGUGCCUAAUACAUGCAAGUCGAGCGAACAGACGAGGAGCUUGCUCCUCUGACGUUAGCGGCGGACGGGUGAGUAACACGUGGAUAACCUACCUAUAAGACUGGGAUAACUUCGGGAAACCGGAGCUAAUACCGGAUAAUAUAUUGAACCGCAUGGUUCAAUAGUGAAAGACGGUUUUGCUGUCACUUAUAGAUGGAUCCGCGCCGCAUUAGCUAGUUGGUAAGGUAACGGCUUACCAAGGGAACGAUGCGUAGCCGACCUGAUAGGGUGAUCGGCCACACUGGAACUGAGACACGGUCCAGACUCCUACGGGAGGCAGCAGUAGGGAAUCUUCCGCAAUGGGCGAAAGCCUGACGGAGCAACGCCGCGUGAGUGAUGAAGGUCUUCGGAUCGUAAAACUCUGUUAUUAGGGAAGAACAAAUGUGUAAGUAACUAUGCACGUCUUGACGGUACCUAAUCAGAAAGCCACGGCUAACUACGUG
Molecule: ribosomal RNA, 497 nt
Filed under: uncultured bacterium
Lineage: Bacteria
Description: partial 16S ribosomal RNA
Rfam family: Bacterial small subunit ribosomal RNA
Source: RNAcentral